GUGGGAGAGAGAGAGAGAGAGAGAGAGAGGAUUAGAGAGAGGAUCAAUCGGAUCCCACAACGACUGACGCCAUUUUCGUCGACAUUUUUCGAUUUAAAUUGAGAACGAUGGAAAAUGUUUCUUUAGUUUUCUAAGUGCAUGCCACAACACAACACAACAACAGCAACAAAAAAGCCACAACACAAAUUAUUUAUUUCAUAUUUUGCCCAGGAA
Molecule: long non-coding RNA, 213 nt
Organism: Drosophila guanche
Lineage: Eukaryota; Metazoa; Arthropoda; Insecta; Diptera; Drosophilidae
Exons: 3
Source: RefSeq, a predicted model, not a curated record